UGCAUUUGUAGGUUUGGCUUUGAAGAUG
Molecule: non-coding RNA, 28 nt
Filed under: Mus musculus (house mouse)
Lineage: Eukaryota; Metazoa; Chordata; Mammalia; Rodentia; Muridae
Source: RNAcentral